Molecule: ribosomal RNA, 196 nt
Filed under: uncultured bacterium
Lineage: Bacteria
Description: partial 16S ribosomal RNA
Rfam family: Bacterial small subunit ribosomal RNA
Source: RNAcentral
ACGCUCGACACCUACGGGGCAGCAGUGGGGAAUAUUGCACAAUGGGGGAAACCCUGAUGCAGCGACGCCGCGUGGAGGAAGAAGGUCUUCGGAUUGUAAACUCCUGUUGUUGGGGAAAAAGAGGAUGGUACCCAACAAGGAAGUGACGGCUAACUACGUGCCGGCAGCCGCGGUAAUCUGAGCGGGCUGGCAAGGC